GACGAACGCUGGCGGCGUGCUUAACACAUGCAAGUCGAACGGAAAGGCCCUGCUUGCAGGGUACUCGAGUGGCGAACGGGUGAGUAACACGUGGGUGAUCUGCCCUGCACUUCGGGAUAAGCCUGGGAAACUGGGUCUAAUACCGGAUAGGAGCCAUUUUUAGUGUGAUGGUUGGAAAGUUUUUUCGGUGUAGGAUGAGCUCGCGGCCUAUCAGCUUGUUGGUGGGGUAAUGGCCUACCAAGGCGGCGACGGGUAGCCGGCCUGAGAGGGUGGACGGCCACAGUGGGACUGAGAUACGGCCCAGACUCCUACGGGAGGCAGCAGUGGGGAAUAUUGCACAAUGGGCGCGAGCCUGAUGCAGCGACGCCGCGUGGGGGAUGACGGCCUUCGGGUUGUAAACUCCUUUCGCUAGGGACGAAGCUUUUUGUGACGGUACCUAGAUAAGAGGCACCGGCUAACUACGUG
This 465-nucleotide ribosomal RNA is filed under the name uncultured bacterium. RNAcentral's name for it is "partial 16S ribosomal RNA". It matches the Rfam family "Bacterial small subunit ribosomal RNA", at positions 28 to 507 of the family's 1533-position model. The record is from RNAcentral.